RNAcentral lists this ribosomal RNA (493 nucleotides) under uncultured bacterium. RNAcentral's name for it is "partial 16S ribosomal RNA". It matches the Rfam family "Bacterial small subunit ribosomal RNA", at positions 29 to 523 of the family's 1533-position model. The record is from RNAcentral.
AACGAACGCUGGCGGCGUGCUUUACACAUGCAAGUCGAACGGUAACAGGUUAAGCUGACGAGUGGCGAACGGGAGAGUAAUGCAUCGGAACGUGCCCAGUCGUGGGGGAUAACGCAGCGAAAGCUGUGCUAAUACCGCAUACGAUCUAUGGAUGAAAGCGGGGGACCGUAAGGCCUCGCGCGAUUGGAUGGGUCGAUGUCAGAUGAGGUAGUUGGUGGGGUAAAGGCUCACCAAGCCAACGAUCUGUAGCUGGUCUGAGAGGACGACCAGCCACACUGGGACUGAGACACGGCCCAGACUCCUACGGGAGGCAGCAGUGGGGAAUUUUGGACAAUGGGCGCAAGCCUGAUCCAGCAAUGCCGCGUGCAGGAAGAAGGCCUUCGGGUUGUAAACUGCUUCUGUACGGAACGAAAAGGUUUGGGUUAAUACCCUGGGCCGAUGACGGUACCGUAAGAAUAAGCACCGGCUAACUACGUGCCAGCAGCCGCCGUAA